CCCUUAGAUGUUCUGGGCCGCACGCGCGCUACACUGAUGCAUUCAACGAGUUUCUUCCUGGUCCGAGAGGAAUGGGUAACCUUUUGAAAGUGCAUCGUGAUAGGGAUAGACUAUUGCAAUUAUUGGUCUUCAACGAGGAAUUCCUAGUAGACGUAGUUCAUCAGACUGUAUCGAUUACGUCCCUGCCCUUUGUACACACCGCCCGUCGCUCCUACCGAUUGAAUGCUCAGGUGAGCCAUUCGGACUUUCAUCAUGCUGGUUUCCAGUUUUGAUGAAGGAAAGUCUUGCGAACCUUAUCAUUUAGAGGAAGGAGAAGUCGUAGCA
RNAcentral lists this ribosomal RNA (324 nucleotides) under uncultured eukaryote. Its description in RNAcentral is "partial 18S ribosomal RNA". It matches the Rfam family "Eukaryotic small subunit ribosomal RNA", at positions 1470 to 1796 of the family's 1831-position model. The record is from RNAcentral.